Molecule: ribosomal RNA, 492 nt
Filed under: uncultured bacterium
Lineage: Bacteria
Description: partial 16S ribosomal RNA
Rfam family: Bacterial small subunit ribosomal RNA
Source: RNAcentral
AGUGAACGCUGGCGGUAGGCCUAACACAUGCAAGUCGAACGGCAGCACAGUAAGAGCUUGCUCUUACGGGUGGCGAGUGGCGGACGGGUGAGGAAUACAUCGGAAUCUACUUUUUCGUGGGGGAUAACGUAGGGAAACUUACGCUAAUACCGCAUACGCCCUACGGGUGAAAGCAGGGGAUCUUCGGACCUUGCGCGAUUGAAUGCGCCGAUGUCGGAUUCGCUAGUUGGCGGGGUAAAGGCCCACCAAGGCGACGAUCCGUAGCUGGUGUGAGAGGAUGGUCAGCCACACGGGAACUGGGACACGGUCCAGAGUCCUACGGGAGGCAGCAGUGGGGAAUGUUGGACAAUGGGCGCAAACCUGAUCCAGCCAUACCGCGUGUGAGAAGGAGGCCUUCGGGUUGUAAAGCCCUUUUGUGGGGAAAGAAAAGCAGCAGGUUAAUACCCCGCUGUUCUGACGGUACCCAAAGAAUAAGCACCGGCUAACUUCGUG